GACGUAGGGCGCGAGCGUUGUCCGGAUUUAUUGGGCGUAAAGAGCUCGUAGGCGGCUUGUCGCGUCGACUGUGAAAACCCGAGGCUCAACUUCGGGCUUGCAGUCGAUACGGGCAGGCUAGAGUUCGGUAGGGGAGACUGGAAUUCCUGGUGCAGCGGUGAAAUGCGCAGAUAUCAGGAGGAACACCGAUGGCGAAGGCAGGUCUCUGGGCCGAUACUGACGCUGAGGAGCGAAAGCGUGGGGAGCGAACAGG
Molecule: ribosomal RNA, 253 nt
Filed under: uncultured bacterium
Lineage: Bacteria
Description: partial 16S ribosomal RNA
Rfam family: Bacterial small subunit ribosomal RNA
Source: RNAcentral